This 213-nucleotide long non-coding RNA is filed under the name Actinidia chinensis (golden kiwifruit). RNAcentral describes it as "long non-coding RNA (ACHI_LNC008644)". Lineage: Eukaryota; Viridiplantae; Streptophyta; Magnoliopsida; Ericales; Actinidiaceae. The record is from RNAcentral.
AAAACUAAAAGAAAAAGAAUUUAUCCUUGAUACGUGCUUUCAACCGUUGGAUUGCGCUAGAUUUCGAACCUUCACCAUUGGAUCGCCUUGGAUUUCCAUUGGGGUUGAACUUCGGAUAAAAAUCUUUGAAUAACCUUAUUGAAACUCUUCGAAUGUGUUCUUCGCCUCAAAAAAUGCUAAUCUAACAAUUUUUUUAAUAACUCUCACUCUUUU